AGCACACACACAGGCGCGCACACAGACACGCACACACGCACGCGCACUUACCGCACGUCAAGACAAAGGCAGCAACACACUCGCCGAGGGGUCCAAAUGAAGGCCAAAGUCCCCACACAAAGAACGAGGCGGGAAGCGUUUGAAGUAGUAAGCAGGUUUUUUUUUUUUAUGAUAAAAAAACAUUGUUGGCUUCAAUGAAAUGUGUUAAGGGCAAAGCAUCUAUUUCUUCCAUCUCCCUGAACUAAUUGUUUCAAAAUUCAUUGACUGUGUUCCAAUGAACUAAGCCGAAACUGUCGCGAUUGCUCUAUGAUUUGCUCCCCAGACAUUGGUUCUUAGACAGGUGAGGGGCGUGGCGAGCUGAGCGGGGCACCGCAACGUGGGACACCUGGACUUCAUCAACUAAUCACACGCCUUCUUAAGCCUGGCGGGGACUUCUCGUCGGCGCCAGAUUAUUCCGUCUCAUUCGGUAUUUUGGCUGACGUGUAUACAUUGAUUCCCUAACCUAAUCCUUUGAUUCCUAACGUCGUGUUAUCCUUUCAUUCGUUCCUCGCCAGUGGAUGAUCCCCGGACUGCAACACUCUCCGGUGCCUCCGCCAGCUACGCCCACCCGCUCCUGUCUUCGCCUUGCACGCUGGUUAUCUCUUGAGUUAUUCUUUACUGACAAUAAACCGUGGAUUGUUCGUACUGA
Molecule: long non-coding RNA, 688 nt
Organism: Gadus morhua (Atlantic cod)
Lineage: Eukaryota; Metazoa; Chordata; Actinopteri; Gadiformes; Gadidae
Exons: 2
Source: RefSeq, a predicted model, not a curated record